CAUGGAUUAAGAAUCUGGCCAGUGAAAAGAGACAGACUACAGCUGGGUAAUAAAACUACACAUGCCAAAAAAACCCUCAACAACCAAAUGAGCUUCCUGAUAGUAAUGGAGUUCCAGUAAUUCCAGCAAAAAAACAAAAAACCUCCCAGAAACAGAAAACCUGUUGACCCUCUUCACCAAGGCCCUUAAUCUUCUGCAUAAAGGUGGAACUCUUCCAAUUCCUGCUAUUAACAGCUGUUUCCAUUUCAACAACAGUGAUGUUUUACCCUGGAAAACUAUUAAACUGUUUCACCCAGUCUGCUAG
This 304-nucleotide long non-coding RNA is filed under the name Crocodylus porosus (Australian saltwater crocodile). RNAcentral describes it as "lncRNA (ENSCPRG00005011498.1)". Lineage: Eukaryota; Metazoa; Chordata; Crocodylia; Crocodylidae. The record is from RNAcentral.